GAGGACUGUGUCACUCCAGACCGGGGAGUGUGAGUCUUUAUCUGGGUUCUGUUUCCUCCGUGGGGCACCAGGUCCUGGGCAAGAGAACUUGGCAGGCUCUCCCCAUGGCGGUCUUAUUCCUCCUUCUGUUCCUAUGUGGCCCCCCGCAGGCUGCUGCAGACAAUAUCCAGACCAUCUAUGUAGCCUUGGGGGAGGCAAUGGAGCUGCCAUGUCCCGCACCACCCACUCUGAGUGGAGACGAACUCCUGUCCUGGUUCCGCAGCCCUGCAGCAGGCUCCUCCACUGCCCUGGUGGCCCAAGUCCAAGUGGCCAGGCUUGGGAGGGGGCCUUCCCCAGAGCCUGGGAAGUCUGUAAGGGCAUCCAGGCUCAAACUGCUGGGGAACUACUCUUUGUGGCUGGAAAAGUCCAAAGAGGGAGACGCCGGUCGGUACUGGUGUGUUGUUCUGGGUCAGCACCACAAGUACCAGAACUGGAGGGUGUAUGAUGUCUCCGUGCUCAGAGGAUCCCAGCUAUCCGCGAGGGCUGCGGAUGGAUCCCCCUGCUCCGUCCUUUUAUGCUCUGUGGCCCCUGCCAGACGCCUAGACUCUGUGACCUGGCUAGAGGGAAGGGGUCCUGUGAGGGGCCAUGUACAGUCAUUUUGGGGCGAUGGGGCUGCCCUGCUCUUGGUGUGUCCUGGGGAACAGCUCUCUGAGUCCAGGGAACACAGACCAAGAAUCAUCAGCUGCCUCAUGCCUCAUAACAAAGGGGUCAGCUUUAGCCUGGCAGCCUCCAUGGAUGCCUCCCCUGCCCUCUGUGCCCCUGCCACGGGCUGGGAUGUAUCCUGGAUCCUGAUGCUGUUGCUUGCAGCAGGUCAAGGGUUCACCAUCCUGGCCCUCAGCAUCAUGCUCUGGAGACAGAGGGUCCAGAGGGCUCAGUGCAGAGAUGCCUCGAUUCCUCAUUUCAAACCUGAAAUCCAGGUCUAUGAGAACAUCCAUGUGGCCCGUCUCAGCCCACCUGCCCACAAGAUCAGAUGAUCUCGAUGACAUCUGCUGGGAAGUGUGACCUGCUGUCUCUCCAGCCAUCUGGCACCUGAAAGAUUCGCCUGAAAACCCUGCACUUCAUUGUGGCAUCCGGAGUGGCAGAGGCUUAUCAACAUCCUGACAUCCUGGGAGGUCCAAGAGUCCCAUGGUAUCUCCCUGGGGAGAGGGAGUGUCCGCAAGGGUGGGCGGGUGGAUUCGCUGGUGGGGUGUGUAAUUGGGCCCUGUGUGCUGGGCUGUCAGUGAACCCUGGACAAGUCUGGGCUGGCCAAGCAGGGAAGGGCAUUGGUGUUCCCAACUGGUCCACUCCCCGGUCUCAGGCAGAAAGGAGCUGGACUCCCAGCCACAUCCUUUUGUGUGCUCAAGCUUGGACCUCAGUGGAGAAAAGCUUUCACAGGAGUGUCACCAAAAGCCUUCAUGAUACAGCAGCUUAAGCUGACCUGUUAGCAAGGAGGAGGAUGGGAAUGACACAGAUGGAGAGUGAGGUGAAAGUUAGGGUUCUAGUCCAAGCACCCCAACCAAACCCACCAAGCAGCUAUAGUUUGCUUUUAGAGAGCACACGCACAUACACACCACACAGAGCAGUGUCCUAGACUCACAAAUAGCACUUUUAUUAAAUUUACUCUUCAUAGUU
RNA transcript from Neofelis nebulosa (Clouded leopard), 1650 nucleotides. It is a transcript of the gene named lymphocyte antigen 6 family member G6F, with no coding region annotated. Lineage: Eukaryota; Metazoa; Chordata; Mammalia; Carnivora; Felidae. The record is from RefSeq and is a predicted model, not a curated record. The transcript has 7 exons.